CCUACGGGAGGCAGCAGUGGGGAAUAUUGCGCAAUGGGCGAAAGCCUGACGCAGCAACGCCGCGUGGGGGAUGAAGGCCUUCGGGUUGUAAACCUCUUUCAGCAGGGAAGAAGCGAAAGUGACGGUACCUGCAGAAGAAGCACCGGCUAACUACGUGCCAGCAGCCGCGGUAAUACGUAGGGUGCAAGCGUUGUCCGGAUUUAUUGGGCGUAAAGAGCUCGUAGGCGGUUAGUCACGUCGGAUGUGAAAUCCCGGAGCUUAACUCCGGGCCUGCAUUCGAUACGGGCUGACUCGAGUGUUGUAGGGGAGACUGGAACUCCUGGUGUAGCGGUGAAAUGCGCAGAUAUCAGGAAGAACACCGGUGGCGAAGGCGGGUCUCUGGGCAACUACUGACGCUGAGGAGCGAAAGCGUGGGGAGCAAACAGGAUUAGAUACCCUGGUAGUCCACGCCGUAAACGGUGGGCGCUAGGUGUGGGAACAUUCCUACGUUCUCUGCGCCGCGCGCGUACGCAUAGUCGCCCGCCGUCGGGAGGUACGGCCGCGACGACGUAAACGUACGAACGGUAAGUAGUACGGCGUUGUAGACGUUGCGACGGCGACGACGAGGGAGGAGG
This 614-nucleotide ribosomal RNA is filed under the name uncultured bacterium. RNAcentral's name for it is "bacterial SSU rRNA". The stretch from base 1 to 524 matches the Rfam family "Bacterial small subunit ribosomal RNA", at positions 338 to 873 of the family's 1533-position model. The record is from RNAcentral.